CCUACGGGGUGCAGCAGUGGGGAAUAUUGGGCAAUGGGCGCAAGCCUGACCCAGCAACGCCGCGUGAAGGAAGAAGGCUUUCGGGUUGUAAACCUCUGUUAUGAGGGAAGAGCAGAAGUCGGUACCUCUUGUUUAAGCUACGGCUAACUACGUGCCAGCAGCCGCGGCAAUACGUAGGUGGCAAGCGAUGUCCGGAUUUAGUGGGUGAAAAGUGUGCGUAGCCGGGUUGACAAGUCAGAUGUGAAAUGCCGGGGCUCAACCGCGGACCUGCAUUUAAAACUGUUGGUCUUGGGGAUGGGAGGGGGAGGCGGAAUUCAUGGUGUAGCGGUGAAAUGCGUGGAUAUUAGGGGGAACACCAGUGGCGAAGGCGGCCUGCUGGACGACAA
This 386-nucleotide ribosomal RNA is filed under the name uncultured bacterium. RNAcentral describes it as "partial 16S ribosomal RNA". It matches the Rfam family "Bacterial small subunit ribosomal RNA", at positions 338 to 739 of the family's 1533-position model. The record is from RNAcentral.